AGAGUUUGAUCCUGGCUCAGGAUGAACGCUAGCGGCAGGCUUAACACAUGCAAGUCGAGGGGUAGAAGUCUUCGGGCUUUGAGACCGGCGCACGGGUGCGUAACGCGUAUGCAAUCUACCUUUUACAGGGGAAUAGCCCAGAGAAAUUUGGAUUAAUGCCCCAUGGUAUUAUAAAAUGGCAUCAUUUUAUGAUUAAAGUUCCAACGGUGAAAGAUGAGCAUGCGUCCCAUUAGUUAGUUGGUAAGGUAACGGCUUACCAAGACAAUGAUGGGUAGGGGUCCUGAGAGGGAGAUCCCCCACACUGGUACUGAGACACGGACCAGACUCCUACGGGAGGCAGCAGUGAGGAAUAUUGGACAAUGGGCGCAAGCCUGAUCCAGCCAUGCCGCGUGCAGGAAGACGGUCCUAUGGAUUGUAAACUGCUUUUAUACAGGAAGAAACACUCUCUCGUGAGAGAGCUUGACGGUACUGUAGGAAUAAGGAUCGGCUAACUCCGUGCCAGCAGCCGCGGUAAUACGGAGGAUCCAA
Molecule: ribosomal RNA, 528 nt
Filed under: uncultured bacterium
Lineage: Bacteria
Description: bacterial SSU rRNA
Rfam family: Bacterial small subunit ribosomal RNA
Source: RNAcentral